AGGCAGCAGUUAGGAAUCUUCCGCAAUGGACGAAAGUCUGACGGAGCAACGCCGCGUGAACGAUGAAGGCUUUCGGGUCGUAAAGUUCUGUUGUCAGGGAAGAACAAGUACCGGAGUAACUGCCGGUACCUUGACGGUACCUAACCAGAAAGCCACGGCUAACUACGUGCCAGCAGCCGCGGUAAUACGUAGGUGGCAAGCGUUGUCCGGAAUUAUUGGGCGUAAAGCGCGCGCAGGCGGUUCCUUAAGUCUGAUGUGAAAGCCCCCGGCUCAACCGGGGAGGGUCAUUGGAAACUGGGGAACUUGAGUGCAGAAGAGGAGAGCGGAAUUCCACGUGUAGCGGUGAAAUGCGUAGAGAUGUGGAGGAACACCAGUGGCGAAGGCGGCUCUCUGGUCUGUAACUGACGCUGAGGCGCGAAAGCGUGGGGAGCGAACAGGAUUAGAUACCCGAGUAGUCC
RNAcentral lists this ribosomal RNA (458 nucleotides) under uncultured bacterium. RNAcentral's name for it is "bacterial SSU rRNA". It matches the Rfam family "Bacterial small subunit ribosomal RNA", at positions 346 to 796 of the family's 1533-position model. The record is from RNAcentral.